This 1317-nucleotide ribosomal RNA is filed under the name uncultured Alphaproteobacteria bacterium. Its description in RNAcentral is "bacterial SSU rRNA". It matches the Rfam family "Bacterial small subunit ribosomal RNA", at positions 29 to 1393 of the family's 1533-position model. The record is from RNAcentral. Lineage: Bacteria; Pseudomonadati; Pseudomonadota; Alphaproteobacteria.
ACGUACGCUGGCGGCACGCCUAACACAUGCAAGUCGAACGAAGUAGCAAUACUUAGUGGCAGACGGGUGAGUAACAUGUAAGUAUCUGCCCUAUGGCCUGGAAUAACACGAGGAAACUUGUGCUAAUACCGGAUAAGUCUUUACGGAGAAAGCUUUAUGCACCAUUGGAUGAGCCUGCACUUGAUUAGUUUGUUGGUGGGGUAAUGGCCUACCAAGACUGUGAUCAAUAGCUGAUUUGAGAGGAUGAUCAGCCACAUUGGGACUGAGACACGGCCCAAACUCCUACGGGAGGCAGCAGUGGGGAAUCUUGCACAAUGGAGGAAACUCUGAUGCAGCGAUGCCGCGUGAGUGAAGAAGGCCUUUGGGUUGUAAAGCUCUUUCGUCGGGGAAGAAAAUGACUGUACCCGAAUAAGAAGGUCCGGCUAACUUCGUGCCAGCAGCCGCGGUAAUACGAAGGGACCUAGCGUAGUUCGGAAUUACUGGGCUUAAAGAGUUCGUAGGUGGUUGAAAAAGUUGGUGGUGAAAUCCCAGAGCUUAACUCUGGAACUGCCAUCAAAACUUUUCAGCUAGAGUAUGAUAGAGGAAAGCAGAAUUUCUAGUGUAGAGGUGAAAUUCGUAGAUAUUAGAAAGAAUACCAAUUGCGAAGGCAGCUUUCUGGAUCAUUACUGACACUGAGGAACGAAAGCAUGGGUAGCGAAGAGGAUUAGAUACCCUCGUAGUCCAUGCCGUAAACGAUGUGUGUUAGACGUUGGAAAUUUAUUUUCAGUGUCGCAGCGAAAGCGAUAAACACACCGCCUGGGGAGUACGACCGCAAGGUUAAAACUCAAAUGAAUUGACGGGGACCCGCACAAGUAGUGGAGCAUGUGGUUUAAUUCGAAGAUACGCGCAGAACCUUACCAACACUUGACAUGUUCGUCGCAACUCUAAGAGAUUAGAGUUUUCGGUUCGGCCGGACGAAACACAGGUGCUGCAUGGCUGUCGUCAGCUCGUGUCGUGAGAUGUUGGGUUAAGUCCCGCAACGAGCGCAACCCUCACUUUUAGUUGCCAUCAUUAAGUUGGGCACUCUGAAAGAACUGCCAGUGAUAAGCUGGAGGAAGGUGGGGAUGACGUCAAGUCCUCAUGGCCCUUACGUGUUGGGCUACACACGUGCUACAAUGGUAUCUACAACAGGAAGCAAGACUGCGAAGUUAAGCAAAUCCCUAAAAGAUACCUCAGUUCGGAUUGCACUCUGCAACUCGAGUGCAUGAAGCUGGAAUUACUAGUAAUCGUGGAUCAGCGUGCCACGGUGAAUGCGUUCCCGGGUCUUGUACUCACCGC